UACGUAGGGGGCAAGCGUUGUCCGGAAUCAUUGGGCGUAAAGAGCGUGUAGGCGGCUCGAUAAGUCUGCUGUGAAAGUCCAGGGCUCAACCCUGGAAGGCCGGUGGAAACUGUCGGGCUAGAGUCCGGAAGAGGCGAGUGGAAUUCCCGGUGUAGCGGUGAAAUGCGCAGAUAUCGGGAGGAACACCCGUGGCGAAGGCGGCUCUCUGGGACGGUACUGACGCUGAGACGCGAAAGCGUGGGGAGCGAACAGG
RNAcentral lists this ribosomal RNA (253 nucleotides) under uncultured bacterium. RNAcentral's name for it is "partial 16S ribosomal RNA". It matches the Rfam family "Bacterial small subunit ribosomal RNA", at positions 524 to 776 of the family's 1533-position model. The record is from RNAcentral.